Transfer RNA from Neotoma lepida (desert woodrat), 72 nucleotides. It matches the Rfam family "tRNA". From Rfam's summary of the family: Transfer RNA (tRNA) molecules are approximately 80 nucleotides in length. NCBI's taxonomy places the organism in Eukaryota, Metazoa, Chordata, Mammalia, Rodentia, Cricetidae. The record is from Rfam.
GCUGUGAUUGUAUAGUGGUUAGUGCUCUGUGUUGUGGCUGCAGCAACCUCAGUUCAAAUCCGAGUCAUGACA